CGACAUACACCGCUGCGGGAACAUACGCAGGACACAAGAUGGCGCCUUCGAGCCGCAAGACCGCCGACCUGUCGAAGGCGAGGCUUCAUUCUGGCUGCGCUGCCGGUACUCCAGUCUCCGCCGCCGGUUGCAUCUUGGGUAAUGUAGUCCCCGGGAUCUGACAAGGAAGACAAGACAUGCAAAUAAAGAAGGAAUCUCUGAUCCUGCUUUAAUGAUUAAUAUGAAUUACGUCAACUUAUGGAAACAAAAAACAUUUUGACAACGAUGCGAUGUUGGUUCCUCAUAUUGCAGAAAUGAUUGGGUUUUUUCAUCAAAACAUUUGUUUGAUGAUCCAAUAAUCUUUAUUUUGGACUGUUUUAGUGGAUCCUAUAACAGCAUCUGUUUAUAUAUGACAUAAUCUAUAUAAGCUGUAGUUAUCAUGGGUCCAUAACUGGCGAUUGACAGAUACAAAAAAACGAAUGGAAAGACUUUCUAUUUAACUUGGAAAUCCAGAAAUAAGAAUAAUUAACAAUCAACAAAAAGACAAAUUAAUAAUCAGACAAAUCCAAACAAAAGAUAACACUCAAUUCUGUGAUGCACGAAUGAAAGCACGGUUAUACUCCCGUCUCCAGAGGACCCUGGUGCCUUCUGACCUUUGACCUCUGGAGAGAAUGAGGGGGAGUUGCUGUUCCCAAAGUGGGCCGGUUGUCUUCCAUCUGUCCCUCGGGGCCCCUCUGACAGAUCCUUUAAAACACGACGCGCUCAGCCAGCGGCCUCCUGGAUGCUAUGACGCUAAUCAUGCUAAUAACAAAUACAACGUGCAAGAAAACAUAUUGAGACGAGUUAAGAGGUCAAAGGUCAGCCAGCAAGCAACGCCCCCUCGCCGCCUCCCCAGCUGUCACGCGCACACACACACAUCCCUGAGAUUAGUUAAGGGGAAGCAGACUGCAACAGUCAGCUGCUUUAAAAUGUGUUGGUACAUUUAAUAUUCAUGAGUUUCAUACAUCAUUGUCUGGAGUUUCUG
Molecule: long non-coding RNA, 1003 nt
Organism: Gasterosteus aculeatus aculeatus (three-spined stickleback)
Lineage: Eukaryota; Metazoa; Chordata; Actinopteri; Perciformes; Gasterosteidae
Source: RefSeq, a predicted model, not a curated record